AUAUCAGUCAGCGGAGGAAAAGAAAGCAACUGCGAUUACCCUAGUAACGGCGAGUGAAGCGGUAAUAGCCCAGAUUUGAAAUCGAGGCACUUUUAUGUCUCGAGUUGUAAUCUGCAGAGGAAGCGUCUAGCGCGACGCCGGCCUAGUACCCUGGAAUGGGUCGCCAUAGAGGGUGACAGCCCCGUGCGGUUGGCCGUCGUGCUAAUGUGUCGCUCCUUCGAGGAGUCGCGUAGUUUGGGAAUUCUGCGCAAAGUGGGAGGUAUGCUCCUCCUAAGGCUAAAUAUUGGCCAGAGACCGAUAGCGCACAAGUAGAGUGAUCGAAAGAUGAAAAGCACCUUGAAAAUGGGGUUAAAUAGUACGUGAAAUUGCCAAAAGGGAAGCGCUCGUGGCUAGACUUGCGCGGGGCAGAUCAGCCUGCUAUAUUGUAGGUGUAUUCUUUCUCGUGCAGGCCAGUGUCGGUUGGUACUGGUGCGGAAAGGUAGCGUGAAUGUGGCUCCUUUAGGAGUGUUAUAGCACGUUACAUAAUUCGCUGGUGCCGUCCGAGGACCGCGCUUUUUGCAAGGACACUGGCAUAAUGGCCACUAGCGG
This 588-nucleotide ribosomal RNA is filed under the name uncultured fungus. RNAcentral's name for it is "eukaryotic LSU rRNA". It matches the Rfam family "Eukaryotic large subunit ribosomal RNA", at positions 40 to 647 of the family's 3401-position model. Lineage: Eukaryota; Fungi. The record is from RNAcentral.